ACAAGCAAUUCAGUUGAGCCUGCUGCUAGUUGGAUGCAAAAGCACCUAUUAGGGAGAAACAAUGGUUCCACAAGGCAGUUCUGUGCUCUUGCUUCCAUGUCUCUGAAGGCGUUUAAGUGCAUUUGAGUAGAUAAACACAUGGCGGUCUAAUAAAGAUGGAACUGUCGGCGACAAGAGAAUGGUUAUAUCCUGCUUUUCUACAAGCUGUGUUGUGGUUUAUCCUUUGUUUAAAACCCUUUUAGCAGUGUAUUUAUUAUGAAAGUGGAAGUACUUGCCAGUAUGAACAUGCAAGUAAUCUAGAGCUAAACAGUAGCAUAGUGUAAUGUUUCGCCAGGCUAGCUGCGACGUGUUAUGUUAAGCAAUGUAUGUACCCCAAUGUGACGCUAUUAAAUAUUCUGCCACAUUUAACACCAAAUACUGCUAGUGGUACUGUCUAGAGUACAAUACCCUUAUGGAAUUUACUUGUCGAGGUGUAUUGCAAUCCGAAAAUCAGUUCAAAAUAAAUUUAUUUUGGGACCA
Panicum virgatum (switchgrass) is the source of this 519-nucleotide long non-coding RNA. RefSeq lists it as uncharacterized. The transcript has 2 exons. Lineage: Eukaryota; Viridiplantae; Streptophyta; Magnoliopsida; Poales; Poaceae. The record is from RefSeq and is a predicted model, not a curated record.